UACAUGAUCCGUGCUUGAGGUUGCUAUUUUUUGAAAGACGAACAAUAAUAGUACGCGAAUACGCGGGAGUAAAUGCUUUUCUC
RNAcentral lists this non-coding RNA (83 nucleotides) under Aggregatibacter actinomycetemcomitans D11S-1. RNAcentral describes it as "Aggregatibacter sRNA 69". It matches the Rfam family "Aggregatibacter sRNA 69". From Rfam's summary of the family: Validated by RT-PCR. Lineage: Bacteria; Pseudomonadati; Pseudomonadota; Gammaproteobacteria; Pasteurellales; Pasteurellaceae. The record is from Rfam by way of RNAcentral.